This 252-nucleotide ribosomal RNA is filed under the name uncultured Flavobacterium sp. RNAcentral's name for it is "partial 16S ribosomal RNA". It matches the Rfam family "Bacterial small subunit ribosomal RNA", at positions 1 to 260 of the family's 1533-position model. The record is from RNAcentral. Lineage: Bacteria; Pseudomonadati; Bacteroidota; Flavobacteriia; Flavobacteriales; Flavobacteriaceae.
CUCGGAGUUUGAUCCUGGCUCAGGAUGAACGCUAGCGGCAGGCUUAACACAUGCAAGUCGAGGGGUAUAGUUCUUCGGAACUAGAGACCGGCGCACGGGUGCGUAACGUGUAUGCAAUCUACCUUUUACAGAGGGAUAGCCCAGAGAAAUUUGGAUUAAUACCUCAUAGUAUGUGAGAAUCGCAUGGUUUUCACAUUAAAGUUCCAACGGCAAAAGAUGAGCAUGCGUCCCAUUAGUUAGUUGGUAAGGUAA